UACGUUCCCGGGUCUUGUACACACCGCCCGUCAAGUCACCUGAAUUGUCUUCACCCGAAGCACGUGGCCUAACCGCAAGGAAGGAGCGUUCGAAGGUGAGGGGGUAAGGGGACU
This 114-nucleotide ribosomal RNA is filed under the name uncultured bacterium. RNAcentral describes it as "partial 16S ribosomal RNA". It matches the Rfam family "Bacterial small subunit ribosomal RNA", at positions 1367 to 1482 of the family's 1533-position model. The record is from RNAcentral.